RNAcentral lists this ribosomal RNA (779 nucleotides) under human gut metagenome. Its description in RNAcentral is "bacterial SSU rRNA". It matches the Rfam family "Bacterial small subunit ribosomal RNA", at positions 542 to 1326 of the family's 1533-position model. The record is from RNAcentral.
UAUCCGGAUUUAUUGGGUUUAAAGGGUGCGUAGGCGGCAAGGUAAGUCAGCGGUGAAAGACCAGGGCUCAACUCUGGAAGUGCCGUUGAUACUGUCUGGCUAGAAUGAUUCCGCCGUGGGAGGAAUGAGUAGUGUAGCGGUGAAAUGCAUAGAUAUUACUCAGAACACCGAUUGCGAAGGCAUCUCACGAGGGGUUCAUUGACGCUGAGGCACGAAAGCGUGGGGAUCGAACAGGAUUAGAUACCCUGGUAGUCCACGCAGUAAACGAUGAUGGCUAACUGUCGGGCCUAUUGGGUUCGGCGGCCAAGCGAAAGCGAUAAGCCAUCCACCUGGGGAGUACGACCGCAAGGUUGAAACUCAAAGGAAUUGACGGGGGCCCGCACAAGCGGAGGAACAUGUGGUUUAAUUCGAUGAUACGCGAGGAACCUUACCCAGGCUCGAACGGCAUCUGAAUUGUCCAGAGAUGGACAAGUCUUCGGACAGAUGUCGAGGUGCUGCAUGGUUGUCGUCAGCUCGUGCCGUGAGGUGUCGGCUUAAGUGCCAUAACGAGCGCAACCCUUGCCGUCAGUUGCCAUCAGGUGAAGCUGGGGACUCUGGCGGGACUGCCACCGCAAGGUGUGAGGAAGGGGGGGAUGACGUCAAAUCAGCACGGCCCUUACGUCUGGGGCGACACACGUGUUACAAUGGCGGCUACAGAGGGAAGCCACCCCGCGAGGGGGCGCGGAUCUGAAAAGGCCGUCUCAGUUCGGACUGGAGUCUGCAACCCGACUCCACGAAGC